Molecule: long non-coding RNA, 507 nt
Filed under: Rattus norvegicus (Norway rat)
Lineage: Eukaryota; Metazoa; Chordata; Mammalia; Rodentia; Muridae
Description: long non-coding RNA NONRATT020622
Source: RNAcentral
AGCUUGAUGAUGAAACUCUUUUUCCUUCUAAGAUUGGUGUCCCAUUUCCCAAAAACUUUAUGUCUGUGGCAAAGACUAUUCUGAAGCGUCUCUUCAGGGUUUAUGCCCAUAUUUACCACCAGCACUUUGACUCCGUGAUGCAGCUGCAAGAGGAGGCCCACCUCAACACCUCCUUUAAGCACUUUAUUUUCUUUGUUCAGGUAAGUGAGCCAUGUUGGUCUCUGGGCCUUGGACUUGGACUUUGGUAAUGUAUCAAAAGCACCACCUCAUUUAUAGAUGUAGAACAUGUAAGUUUUAAGCUUUGUUCUGUCCCCAGUUUUGCUCUCUUCUUCAUACUGUUUCAUUGAUUCAUGAAGCAGUUUAGGAGGGCAGUGUCUCUGAAGUGGAGAGGCGGUUUGGCAAUAAAGCACUCAUACAGUUAUUGCUGAAGACCUGGGUUCAGCUCCCAGAACCCAUAUCAGGAGGCUCACAAUAACCUGUAAGGGAUCCAGCAUCUUAAUCUAGUUU